UGCUGAUAAAGGAAAAUUUCAAUUCAAAUAUCUCAAAGCCGUGCACGAUGUGGUGAAAACUAUGGUGUAUAGAUUACUAAGACCAUGGUUGCACAUCGACUUUGUCUUCUUCCUUACUCCUGUAGGGAUGCUACAGUCUAGACUACU
Molecule: long non-coding RNA, 147 nt
Organism: Ceratina calcarata
Lineage: Eukaryota; Metazoa; Arthropoda; Insecta; Hymenoptera; Apidae
Exons: 2
Source: RefSeq, a predicted model, not a curated record